GGUCAUGUGACUGAAGUUAAGUAAAUUAGAGUCCAAUCACUUUGUUUCCUGAUUUAGAGCAGAAGAGGCAGCUUUGCUUCUAACAGCAUGACAGUAGAGGAGAGUCACUGAAGAAGGGAAGGAGUGAUCAAGACACAUUCAGAGGUCCUGGUGGUGUGGAUGUUCAUUCCAGCAUGGGCCCCUUCUGGAGCAUCACAGUUGUCAACCCAAUGUGUCCUCUGUGGCCUCAUGUCAGGAAAUGAGCUUCAGAAAUAUUCACCAAAUGAUUCCUGAUUACACAUGA
This is a long non-coding RNA of Felis catus (domestic cat), 283 nucleotides long. RefSeq lists it as uncharacterized. NCBI's taxonomy places the organism in Eukaryota, Metazoa, Chordata, Mammalia, Carnivora, Felidae. The record is from RefSeq and is a predicted model, not a curated record. The transcript has 2 exons.